UACGUACCGUACGAACGUUAUUCGGAAUUACUGGGCUUAAAGGGUUUGUAGGCGGCCUUGUAAGUCAGGUGUGAAAUCCCCCGGCUCAACCGGGGAACGGCCGGGCAUACUGGCGGUCUUGGGCCAGCUAGGGGUCAUCGGAACAAACGGUGGAGCGGUGAAAUGCGUAGAUAUCGUUUGGAACGCCGACGGUGAAAACAGAUGACUGGGGCUGUGCCGACGCUGAGACACGAAAGCCAGGGGAGCAAACGGG
Molecule: ribosomal RNA, 253 nt
Filed under: uncultured bacterium
Lineage: Bacteria
Description: partial 16S ribosomal RNA
Rfam family: Bacterial small subunit ribosomal RNA
Source: RNAcentral